GAUCCUGGCUCAGGAUAAACGCUGGCGGCGCACAUAAGACAUGCAAGUCGAACGAACUUAACCAUUAGUUUACUAUUGGAGCGGUUAGUGGCGGACUGGUGAGUAACACGUAAGCAACCUGCCUAUCAGAGGGGAAUAACAGUUAGAAAUGACUGCUAAUACCGCAUAUGCCUUAGAAUCACAUGGUUCGAAAGGGAAAGGAGCAAUCCGCUGAUAGAUGGGCUUGCGUCUGAUUAG
This 237-nucleotide ribosomal RNA is filed under the name uncultured bacterium. RNAcentral's name for it is "partial 16S ribosomal RNA". It matches the Rfam family "Bacterial small subunit ribosomal RNA", at positions 15 to 244 of the family's 1533-position model. The record is from RNAcentral.